This 480-nucleotide ribosomal RNA is filed under the name uncultured bacterium. RNAcentral's name for it is "partial 16S ribosomal RNA". It matches the Rfam family "Bacterial small subunit ribosomal RNA", at positions 28 to 507 of the family's 1533-position model. The record is from RNAcentral.
GACGAACGCUGGCGGCGCGCCUAACACAUGCAAGUCGAGCGAUGAAAUUUUAACCGAUCUCUUCGGAGAGAAGAUAAAAUGGAUUAGCGGCGGACGGGUGAGUAACACGUGAGAAACCUGCCUUUCACAAGGGGAUAGCCUCGGGAAACCGGGAUUAAUACCCUAUGACACAUUUCCUUCGCAUGGAAGAAAUGUUAAAACUCCGGUGGUGAAAGAUGGUCUCGCGCCUGAUUAGCUAGUUGGUGGGGUAACGGCCCACCAAGGCCAUGAUCAGUAACCGGCAUGAGAGGGUGAACGGUCACAUUGGAACUGAGACACGGUCCAAACUCCUACGGGAGGCAGCAGUGGGGAAUAUUGCACAAUGGAGGAAACUCUGAUGCAGCGACGCCGCGUGAGCGAUGAAGGCUUUCGAGUCGUAAAGCUCUGUCCUAUGGGAAGAUAAUGACGGUACCAUAGGAGGAAGCCCCGGCUAACUACGUG